AUACAAAAUACUUUGCCAACAUUUUGAAAAACGCAAAAGCUGUACACGGAAAUGAUGCUGUUCUUAAGGCAUACAAUAUAGAAGGUGAUGUUCGUAUUCAGUAUAAAGACCAAUCAGACUUCGAACGCAUUGCACGCCAGUUUGGUAUUUUUGAAGAAUGGAAGGAUGGAGUACCAAGGACAGCAUAUAAAGGAAUAGUUGUUUUCCGAUAUCAUACACAAAGACGAAUUUUCCUUGUUGGUCCUGAUUCUUUGAGGCGGCUUGGGGUUGAAGAUGCUUGAUGCUAAAUGGAGGGUUUCUAGGGAUUUAUGAACUGGCGGAUUGACACAUUUGUGUGAAACGAGGAUUUGUUUAUACAUGGUUUAGUUAGUCAAGCAUGAUUACCUUGUGUAUAAUACCAUCAUGGAGCUGGAUGCAAUCAUCAUGUUUUUCUCGACACUUCCACCAAUUUAUUUGUCUCCCUUCUGCUAGUUAAUAUAUUGGAUGCUAAUUUUUGUACUUCUGAAAGUGGUUGCUGGUGGCUAGCUAGCGUUUGAUACACAUGUUUUCCCUGCAUAUUGACCACAAUUGCCUACGAAUUUUUGGUGUUUUGUACUUUAGUGUCUAGAAUUACUCUUUUUAUCUCUCGUG
Molecule: unclassified non-coding RNA, 630 nt
Filed under: Hevea brasiliensis (rubber tree)
Lineage: Eukaryota; Viridiplantae; Streptophyta; Magnoliopsida; Malpighiales; Euphorbiaceae
Source: RNAcentral